RNAcentral lists this ribosomal RNA (253 nucleotides) under uncultured bacterium. RNAcentral describes it as "partial 16S ribosomal RNA". It matches the Rfam family "Bacterial small subunit ribosomal RNA", at positions 524 to 776 of the family's 1533-position model. The record is from RNAcentral.
UACAGAGGUCUCAAGCGUUGUUCGGAUUCAUUGGGCGUAAAGGGUGCGUAGGUGGCGCCGUAAGUCAGGUGUGAAAUUUCGGAGCUUAACUCCGAAACUGCAUUUGAUACUGCGGUGCUUGAGGACUGGAGAGGAGACUGGAAUUUACGGUGUAGCAGUGAAAUGCGUAGAGAUCGUAAGGAAGACCAGUGGCGAAGGCGGGUCUCUGGACAGUUCCUGACACUGAGGCACGAAGGCCAGGGGAGCGAACGGG